RNAcentral lists this ribosomal RNA (995 nucleotides) under Acinetobacter sp. RNAcentral's name for it is "bacterial SSU rRNA". Lineage: Bacteria; Pseudomonadati; Pseudomonadota; Gammaproteobacteria; Moraxellales; Moraxellaceae. The record is from RNAcentral.
GUCGAGCGGAGUGAUGGUGCUUGCACUAUCACUUAGCGGCGGACGGGUGAGUAAUGCUUAGGAAUCUGCCUAUUAGUGGGGGACAACAUUUCGAAAGGAAUGCUAAUACCGCAUACGUCCUACGGGAGAAAGCAGGGGAUCUUCGGACCUUGCGCUAAUAGAUGAGCCUAAGUCGGAUUAGCUAGUUGGUGGGGUAAAGGCCUACCAAGGCGACGAUCUGUAGCGGGUCUGAGAGGAUGAUCCGCCACACUGGGACUGAGACACGGCCCAGACUCCUACGGGAGGCAGCAGUGGGGAAUAUUGGACAAUGGGCGCAAGCCUGAUCCAGCCAUGCCGCGUGUGUGAAGAAGGCCUUAUGGUUGUAAAGCACUUUAAGCGAGGAGGAGGCUACUGAAGUUAAUACCUUCAGAUAGUGGACGUUACUCGCAGAAUAAGCACCGGCUAACUCUGUGCCAGCAGCCGCGGUAAUACAGAGGGUGCAAGCGUUAAUCGGAUUUACUGGGCGUAAAGCGCGCGUAGGCGGCUAAUUAAGUCAAAUGUGAAAUCCCCGAGCUUAACUUGGGAAUUGCAUUCGAUACUGGUUAGCUAGAGUGUGGGAGAGGAUGGUAGAAUUCCAGGUGUAGCGGUGAAAUGCGUAGAGAUCUGGAGGAAUACCGAUGGCGAAGGCAGCCAUCUGGCCUAACACUGACGCUGAGGUGCGAAAGCAUGGGGAGCAAACAGGAUUAGAUACCCUGGUAGUCCAUGCCGUAAACGAUGUCUACUAGCCGUUGGGGCCUUUGAGGCUUUAGUGGCGCAGCUAACGCGAUAAGUAGACCGCCUGGGGAGUACGGUCGCAAGACUAAAACUCAAAUGAAUUGACGGGGGCCCGCACAAGCGGUGGAGCAGGUGGUUUAAUUCGAUGCAACGCGAAGAACCUUACCUGGCCUUGACAUAGUAAGAACUUUCCGARAUGGAUUGGUGCCUUCGGGAACUUACAUACAGGUGCUGCAUGGCUG